RNAcentral lists this ribosomal RNA (2723 nucleotides) under Alaria esculenta (Atlantic wakame). Its description in RNAcentral is "large subunit ribosomal RNA". It matches the Rfam family "Bacterial large subunit ribosomal RNA". The record is from RNAcentral. Lineage: Eukaryota; Phaeophyceae; Laminariales; Alariaceae.
UAAUAUACUAUUUUAGUGUGGAGUGAAUGCCUUGGAAGAAAAAUAUAGGCGCGGACAAUCGCGAAAGUGUUGACACGAGGAAAGCCUGUGACGUCAACCAACCUAAAAUGGGAAACCGGGGCUAAAAAGCCCGCUGCUUAGGCAGUAUCAAGGGGAAGUGAAACAUCUCAGUACCCUGUAGACCAAAUCAACCGAGAUAUCGUUAGUAGUGGUGAGCGAAAGCGAUAAAAAGGCAAAACGAAAAUUUUAUUAUUAAGAAUGAAAAGAAGUUUUGUUUUUCAAUGAAAUUUCUACCUUAGAAGGUGUUAGUCCUGUAAUUCUUUUUUUUUUCGUGAAAGUAAGACGAGGCAAGUUUACCUUGUCUGAGUAUUGGGGGACCACCCUCAAAGCCUAUAGUUAUUUUUCUUACCGAUAGUGAACAAGUACCGUGAGGGAAAGGUGAAAAAGAAGUUGCGACAGUGCAAAGAUCCUGAAACUCCAUAUUUGAGUCGGAGCUAUAAAAAGCAACGGCAUACCUUUUGUAUAAUGGGCAAGUGAAUCUUAAUAAAGGGCAAGCUUAAGCUAAUAAAAGUGUAGGCGAAGAGAAAUCGAGUCCUAUGUGGCAUCCUAAAGUCCUUUGUUAAGUACCCGAAACCGGCUGAUCUAAACUUGAGCAGGCUGAUAUUGUAGUGGCAACAUUCUUUGGAGGGCCGAACCCGUGUAUGUGGCAAAAUACUGGGAUGACUUGAGUUUAGGGGUGAAAGGCCAAUCAAAGUCGGUGAUAGCUGGAUUUCUGCGAAAUCUAUUGAAGUAGAGCGUCCUAAACAGUAAAUCUGGGGUAGAGCACUGUAUAAGCAAGGGGGAGAUCUUCUCUUACUAAACUUUGGCAAACUCCGAAUACAGAUUUUUCAUUUAGGGCAGACAGAGUAUGUAUGCUAAGAUUCAUACUCAAGAGGGAAACAGCCCAGACUGUAGGCUAAGGUCCACAAAAUAGUUUCAGUGGUAAAGGUGAUAUCUGCUCUGAGACCGUCAGGAGGUAGGCUUGGAAGCAGCCAUCCUUUUAAGACAGCGUAACAGCUCACUGACCUAGAGUAGAAGUCCCGCCAAUUUUGAGGGCUUAAAACUAUUACCGAAGCCUCAGACAAAAAUGUUAAGAUAAUUAAAAACUCUUAUAUUUUGUGGUAGCAGAACAUUCCGUAGGUCGUAGAAGUUUUGACGUAAGUUAAGAUCAAGAUAUCGGAAGCGAGAAUACUUGCAUGAGUAGCAUAAAACAAUGAAAUUAAAGCAUUGUGGCCGUAAGUCCAAGGUUUACGAUCUUAAGUAAAACUGGGUCGUGAGAGGGUAACACCUCGAUUUAAAACGGUCCCUAAGCUGUUAAGCCAAAGCUUGUAGUAAUGGGUAAGAUUAAACUGUUAAAAGUUGCUGACGAAAAAUUCACCUUAUUCUUGAAUUUGUCAAGAGUGAGUUAUUUUUUCCAAGAAAAAGGCACUUUAUUUAUACCGUACCUUAAACCGCCUCAGGUGGACGGGUGGAGAACACUAAGGCCUUGAGAUAACCCUGUUGAAGGAACUCGGCAAAAUGACUCUGUAACUUCGGAAUAAGGAGUAAAGACAUGUAGCGCAAGCUUUUGUCUUUGUCACAAAAUCGGGGGUGGCGACUGUUUAUUAAAAACACAGGUCUCUGCUAACUCGCAAGAGGAUGUAUAGGGACUGACACCUGCCCGGUGCCGGUAGGUGAAGCUUUGAUGUUUACGCAUUGAGGUCAAACCCCGGUAAACGGCGGCUGUAACUAUGACGGUCCUAAGGUAGCGAAAUUCCUUGUCGGGUAAGUUCCGACCCGCAUGAAUGGUGUAACGACUUCCCCGCUGUCUCCAACAGGGACUCAGUGAAAUUACAUAGGUCGUGAAGAUGCGACCAUCCCACAGCUGGACGGAAAGACCCCGUGCACCUUUACUAUAAGCAAAUAUUGUAGGUCAAAGACUCUAGUGUAGAAUAGGUGGGAGCUUAUGAUUCUUUCUCGUCAGAGUCUGAUGAGGCGAUAGUGAAAUACCACCCCGAGAUCUGUUGGCUUACUAACUAAGGGACAGUGUUUGCUGGGUAGUUUGACUGGGGCGGUCGCCUCCUAAAGAGUAACGGAGGCAUACAAAGGUAGGUUCAUCUCCUUCUAAGGGGAAUUGAGUAUAAUGGUAUAAACCUGCUUGACUGAAAGAAAGACAUUUCGAUCAGAGACGUAAGUCGGUCAUAGUGAUCCGGUGGUUCUUUGUGGAAAGGCCAUCGCGCAAUGGAUAAAAGGUACGCCGGGGAUAACAGGCUAAUGAUCCUCUAGAGCCCCUAUCGACGGGUUCGUUUGGCACCUCGAUGUCGACUCAUCACAUCCUGGAGCUGGAAAAGGUUCCAAGGGUUCGGCUGUUCGCCGACGAAAGUGGUACGUGAGUUGGGUUUAGAACGUCGUGAGACAGUUUGGUCCCUAUCUUCUGUGGGUGUUUGAAAAUUCCGAGGACUAGACCUUAGUACGAGAGGACCGGGAAAACUCGAUCCCUUGUGUUCCGGUUGUUCCCUAAGGGGCAUCGCCGGGUAGCUACAUCGAGAAGAGAUAAUCGACCGUUAGGCGAGAAACUCUCCUCUAGUAAAGUUUUCUAAAGGGGGUGGAAGAUUACCACUUUGAUAGGCGGGAGGUGUAAGAGCUGUAAGGUUUUCAGCUGACCCGUACUAAUCCCUAUAAAAAUAAAAUUAUAUAGUUUUUGC